AGCAGCCGCGGUAAUUCCAGCUCCAAUAGCGUAUAUUAAAGUUGUUGUAGUUAAAAAGCUCGUAGUUGAAUUUCGGGGUUAGUAGGUUGGUCAUGCCUCUGGUAUGUACUGGUCUCACUGAUUCCUCCUUCCUGAUGAGCCGUAAUGCCAUUAAUUUGGUGUCGUGGGAAAUCAGGACUGUUACUUUGAAAAAUUAGAGUGUUUAAAGCAGGCUCGCGCUUGAAUACAUUAGCAUGGAAUAAUGAAAUAGGACGUUUGAUUCUAUUUUGUUGGUUUCUAGGAUCGACGUAAUGAUUAAUAGGGAUAGUUGGGGGCAUUAGUAUUCAAUUGUCAGAGGUGAAAUUCUUGGAUUUAUUGAAGACUAACUACUGCGAAAGCAUUUGCCUAAGGAUGUUUUCAUUAAUCAAGAACGAAAGUUAGGGGAUCGAAGACGAUCAGAUACCGUCGUAGUCUUAACCAUAAACUA
RNAcentral lists this ribosomal RNA (466 nucleotides) under uncultured Glomus. RNAcentral describes it as "SSU rRNA". It matches the Rfam family "Eukaryotic small subunit ribosomal RNA", at positions 569 to 1039 of the family's 1831-position model. Lineage: Eukaryota; Fungi; Glomeromycota; Glomeromycetes; Glomerales; Glomeraceae. The record is from RNAcentral.